CACUCGGGAGAAACGAUCGUUACCGGACAGACCGCCUCUGGCAGGACGUGGAGCCUCGCUGUCACUCGGGAAGGGACGAGACAGUCACAGGCCGGGGGCGCGGGCGGCGCACGCGGCUGCCCAGGUAGCGCAGAUCCAAGGAGACCGGUUGUAAACUGCAGGAUUGGACUUGAGCAGAGCCCACCCGCCUCCACCUGCAGGCGGUGGCCCCCCGUUGGCUCGGUCUUCUUUUCUAAAAACAAUCGAAAGAACAGCCUGCAAGUGUGGAGGCGCGACGGCUGGGCGCGCGGCCGCCUGGGAGGGUGGCCUGGAAUCGCGCCACUGCACCUCGGGUCACCGCGGGGAGCUCCCGGACCCCACGGCCGCCGCUUUCCUGGAGCAGGAGCUGGAUGCUCCGCUCACGGGCGAGGAGCCCGUUCAGGCCUGUGGAGCGCCGGGGUCUGGACGGACACUGGGCCUCUGUCACUUUCGGUUGCCCUCCUCACUGGGAUGGAAGAGAAAGGGCCGGCGCGCAGGCCAACCGGUGGCCGAUGCUUUUGGAACUAGUUGGCGUGGACACGCGUGUUUCCGGGAACCGCGGUUUCCUGGAGGCCGAGCUCUGGGAAACGGCGGCCUGGGGCUCGAGGUCCUCCUCGGAAAGCAGCGGCGGCGCAGACCGAGGCGCCCUCCACUCCUCGCCCGGGGCUCCCGGGAGGCGGGCAGGCCCAGCGGCGACGCGGCCCGAAGUCGUGCGCGCGGGCGGCGAGGGGGCGCUGUGGCCCGCGGAUGCCGCCUCGUCCCCGCCGCGGUGGGCCUGGUGCCGUCCCCGGCCACCGAGGGCGCCCCGGCCGGACCUCCCCAACGUCGACUGCAUUCGGGGCAAAGGGACAGCAACCCUGGAGCGUUUGAAUAAAGCCUAG
Molecule: long non-coding RNA, 899 nt
Filed under: Capra hircus (goat)
Lineage: Eukaryota; Metazoa; Chordata; Mammalia; Artiodactyla; Bovidae
Description: lncRNA (ENSCHIG00000004026.1)
Source: RNAcentral